This 251-nucleotide ribosomal RNA is filed under the name uncultured prokaryote. RNAcentral's name for it is "partial 16S rRNA". It matches the Rfam family "Bacterial small subunit ribosomal RNA", at positions 525 to 775 of the family's 1533-position model. The record is from RNAcentral.
ACGGAGGGUGCAAGCGUUAUUCGGAAUUACUGGGCGUAAAGCGCGUGUAGGCGGUCCUGCAAGUCUGAUGUGAAAGCCCCGGGCUUAACCCGGGAAGUGCAUUGGAAACUGUGGGACUUGAGUACUGGAGAGGGUGGUGGAAUUCCCGGUGUAGCGGUGAAAUGCGUAGAGAUCGGGAGGAAUACCAGUGGCGAAGGCGGCCAUCUGGACGGUAACUGACGCUGAGGUGCGAAAGCGUGGGGAGCAAACAG